This 30-nucleotide non-coding RNA is filed under the name Cricetulus griseus (Chinese hamster). Lineage: Eukaryota; Metazoa; Chordata; Mammalia; Rodentia; Cricetidae. The record is from RNAcentral.
GUGUCCAGAAGGCCAGAUGAAGGCGUCAGA